UUCUGGCUCAGGAUGAACGCUAGCUACAGGCUUAACACAUGCAAGUCGAGGGGCAGCAUUGGAGUAGCAAUACUUCAGAUGGCGACCGGCGCACGGGUGAGUAACACGUAUCCAACCUGCCGCUUACUCGGGGAUAGCCUUUCGAAAGAAAGAUUAAUACCCGAUGGUAUAAAGAGUUCGCAUGUUCUCUUUAUUAAAGAAUUUCGGUAAGCGAUGGGGAUGCGUUCCAUUAGAUAGUUGGCGGGGUAACGGCCCACCAAGUCUACGAUGGAUAGGGGUUCUGAGAGGAAGGUCCCCCACAUUGGAACUGAGACACGGUCCAAACUCCUACGGGAGGCAGCAGUGAGGAAUAUUGGUCAAUGGACGAGAGUCUGAACCAGCCAAAAGUAGCGUGAAGGAUGACUGCCCUAUGGGUUGUAAACUUCUUUUAUAAGGGAAUAAAGUGAGGGACGUGUCCCUUUUUGUAUGUACCUUAUGAAUAAGGAUCGGCUAACUCCGUGCCAGCCGCGGC
This 511-nucleotide ribosomal RNA is filed under the name uncultured bacterium. RNAcentral describes it as "bacterial SSU rRNA". It matches the Rfam family "Bacterial small subunit ribosomal RNA", at positions 17 to 518 of the family's 1533-position model. The record is from RNAcentral.